GAGAUAAGCGUCUUCAAUCCUUGCUCUGCAUCAUCAAUUAACCGAUUGUCGUUCGUAUCUCACUUCGUCUUUCUCUUACUUUCUAAUUCCUUCUGCGUUUCUUCUUCGUUUCCACUAAUUUUGGGGUUUCAAUUCACGCAAGGGUUUCAGGUCACACAACAACGGAAGCCACUCUCGCAUUCAACAAUCGACUUCGGCCAAUUUCGAUUACGGAGUUGGGUAUGUUAUUUGUAUUUUGUACCUGUCUAUAGUUGUUGCUUUCGUUCUUGGAAGCAGUUGUCCGUUUGGAUUUUGGGUUAGUCGUUUUUUUAUUUUCAAUUUUUGUUGCAACUGUUGUUUGCUUUGUAUUGGCAUAAUGCUUCCCAGUAAGCGUAAGAGGGGCUCCACUUGUGUUGCGACAAGGGCUCGUCGUGACAUAAAACACAUCUUUUUGGGCUAUGAUCUGUCAAUUUCUUUUGAUAUAAAUGACUUACCAGGGGACUAGGUAGUGGAGAAUCGAGGUUAGAGAGAUCAAGUGCUCGUUAGGUUUGGGGUUUAUUGAAGGUUAAUUUGGGGAUUUCCAA
This 563-nucleotide long non-coding RNA is filed under the name Lactuca sativa (garden lettuce). RNAcentral describes it as "long non-coding RNA (LSAT_LNC003813)". The record is from RNAcentral. Lineage: Eukaryota; Viridiplantae; Streptophyta; Magnoliopsida; Asterales; Asteraceae.